This 1597-nucleotide unclassified non-coding RNA is filed under the name uncultured fungus. RNAcentral describes it as "sequence contains 18S rRNA gene, ITS1, 5.8S rRNA gene, ITS2, 28S rRNA gene". The stretch from base 545 to 1597 matches the Rfam family "Eukaryotic large subunit ribosomal RNA", at positions 1 to 961 of the family's 3401-position model. The record is from RNAcentral. Lineage: Eukaryota; Fungi.
GGAAGGAUCAUUAAUAAAUGCUUCAUUGCAUCCACCUUUUGUGCACUGUAAAUAUUUCACUUGAAUUUUGUCUGACUAAUCUUUGUUCUGAAAGGAACAUAAAUUAUAAUCUAAUACAACUUUUAACAAUGGAUCUCUUGGCUCUCGCAUCGAUGAAGAACGCAGCGAAAUGCGAUAAGUAAUGUGAAUUGCAGAAUUCAGUGAAUCAUCGAAUCUUUGAACGCAUAUUGCGCUCUUUGGUAUUCCAGAGAGCAUGCCUGUUUGAGUAUUGGUACUAUGGGUGAACUUCCUUUGAAUUUUCAAAGUAAAAUCAUUUAAAACCCUAUUGAGACAUCUUGGCAAUCUUUUUCAAGUGUCUUAAAAUUCAAUUGAAUUUUCCAUGUUCCUGUGGAAGAUGACUAGUUUAUGGAGUAAUAUGGUAAGGGUUGCCCCUGACCUGAAAAAGUGCUGUCAAAGGCUCUUUUUCUUACUUUUCUUCUAGUUGUCUUCAGCUGAAACAUGAUCUUUGAAUGCCCUUGAAGAAGACAUUCAAAAGUUUUAAUCUCAAUCUCAAAUCAGGUAGGAUUACCCGCUGAACUUAAGCAUAUUAAUAAGCGGAGGAAAAGAAACUAACAAGGAUUCCCCUAGUAACGGCGAGUGAAGCGGGAAGAGCUCAAAUUUGGAAUCUGGGUAGGUCUCCUACUCCGAGUUGUAAUCUAUAGACGUGUUUUCGGUGGUUGUGUUGGUAUAAAUCCUUUGGAACAGGGUAUCAUAGAGGGUGAAAAUCCCGUCUUUGACUGACAUACAACUGCCAUGUGAUACAUGUUCAAAGAGUCGCAUUGUUUGGGAAUGCAGUGCAAAUUGGGUGGUAAAUUUCAUCCAAAGCUAAAUAAUGGCGAGAGACCGAUAGCGAACAAGUACCGUGAGGGAAAGAUGAAAAGAACUUUGAAAAGAGAGUUAAAUAGUACGUGAAAUUGUUAAAAGGGAAACGCAUGAAAUCAGUAAACUUCAUAGCAAAUCAGCCAAGUGUUGUCCAUUUAUGGGCAACAUAUGGUGCACUUUGCUGUAAAGGAGUCAACAUCAGUUUGGGCUGAUGGAUAUACCUCUAUGGAAGGUAACCACAUUUGUGGUGUUUAGCCAUGGAAGGAACACAUCGGUCUGGACUGAGGUCUGCAGCACACUUUUUGCGGAAUAAACUAGUGCUGCCGACUGCUUAACGGCCCUCAACUUGUUGAGUGUUGGUAAGUAAGCGGCAACCAUUGGUCUCUGUACUUUUGUGCUUGGGAUGUUGACAAAAUGGUUUUAUACGACCCGUCUUGAAACACGGACCAAGGAGUCUAACAUAUAUGCGAGUAUUUGGGUGUCAAACCCACAUGCGGAAUGAAAGUGACAAUGAUGGGACCUGCAAAGGGCACCAUCGACCGAUCUUGAAAUUUUUGGAUAGAUUUGAGUAAGAGCAUAUCUGUUGGGACCCGAAAGAUGGUGAACUAUACUUGAAUAGGGUGAAGCCAGAGGAAACUCUGGUGGAGGCUCGUAGCGAUUCUGACGUGCAAAUCGAUCGUCAAAUUUGAGUAUAGGGGCGAAAGACUAAUCGAACCAUCUAGUAGCUGGUUCCUGC